AGUUUUAUAUUCAAUUGAUGAUUUCAAAUUGCAAAUUUGAAGGUGGGUUAUCCCUAAGGCUU
Molecule: transfer RNA, 62 nt
Filed under: Ceruchus chrysomelinus
Lineage: Eukaryota; Metazoa; Arthropoda; Insecta; Coleoptera; Lucanidae
Description: tRNA-Cys
Source: RNAcentral